Long non-coding RNA from Scylla paramamosain (green mud crab), 1105 nucleotides. RefSeq lists it as uncharacterized. The transcript has 3 exons. NCBI's taxonomy places the organism in Eukaryota, Metazoa, Arthropoda, Malacostraca, Decapoda, Portunidae. The record is from RefSeq and is a predicted model, not a curated record.
CCACCUUCUGAUCUCUGCUGCUUCCGAAUCCACGUGGAAUUGACGGGAAGGACGCAGGUGGAGUCCAAGCCACGCUGCGCCACAAGAAUAGCAACAGAAGACACUGGCAGCAGUCCAGCGGUACACAACAGCAACAGCAAUAACAGUAACAACAACUAGAACAACAACAACAACAACUACUACUACUACUACUACUACUACUACUACUACUACUACUACUACUACUAUUACUACUACUACUACUACUACUACUACUACUACUACUACUACUACUACUACUAAUAAUAAUAAUAAUAAUAAUAAUAAUAAUAAUAAUAAUAAUAAUAAUAAUAAUGAUAAUAAUAAAAAUAACUGUUACGCCAACCGGAUGAAAGAAGCUAUUGUUGUUCAAGCGAGUUUGUCAAUGAGGAAAGAAAGGACCUGGAGGUCAGGGCGAGGAACAAUACGAGGCCUAAGUCAGCGAAUUCCCUGUACGGUCGGUGUUGAGGUAGUGUUGAUGUAAGGAGAUGAAGGAUGCUUGUUAUGGCAUUGAGGCUAAGAUGAGGCCGGCCUUAUCACCGUCGCUAAUGAAUAACGAUGGACAGAGUAGGAACCCAGGCAAUAACUGAGGACGAUAGGGACACUUUGCUGAGGACACUCGUGCAGGGAGGACGUGUGUCGGUGCAGAGACAGAAGUAGAAAGACCUACCUGGAGCACCCGUCAGAAAGGGCGUGCGCGUUACUUAACGAUUACCUGAAGACCCAAACACAAUGUCUGCCGACAUGAAAACGAUGCAGGAGAUGAUGGCGGGCAGGUAAUCCUUCUGUGGCAGACCCUGGGAGUAGAUGUCAACAAGCGCGCCUGAGACGAUGGCCAUCACGCCCAUACCGAUUGUGCCCCACAGCCGCUGCCGUCCAUACAGAUGCCGCUCAGAACCUGCCGCCAAGAGAGUGAAGGAUUCGUCAAGGUGUGGCGUCAGGUGGCAGGAUGAGGGCGAAGACGAUGAGCCAGAACUGCGGGUAGCGUAGAAGGGAGGCCACACCCUCGCUCUCCUCUGGAAUCCCCGAUGUACCCUCACUGGGCAGUGGGGCGAGGUGUGCCGUCUGGCCCUCUCCAACUGUCAUC